AACGAACGCUGGCGGCAGGCUUAAUACAUGCAAGUCGAACGAGAAAGCACCUUCGGGUGUGAGUAGAGUGGCGCACGGGUGAGUAACGCGUGGGAAUGUACCCUUUGGUACGGGAUAACAGUUAGAAAUGACUGCUAAUACCGUAUGGUGACUCCGGUCUAAAGAUUUAUCGCCAAAGGAUCAGCCCGCGUUAGAUUAGCUUGUUGGUGAGGUAAUGGCUCACCAAGGCUGUGAUCUAUAGCUGGUCUGAGAGGAUGAUCAGCCACACUGGAACUGAGACACGGUCCAGACUCCUACGGGAGGCAGCAGUAGGGAAUAUUGGACAAUGGGCGAAAGCCUGAUCCAGCCAUGCCGCGUGUGUGAUGAAGGCCUUAGGGUUGUAAAACACUUUCAUUGGUGAAGAUAAUGACGGUAACCAAAGAAGAAGCCCCGGCUAACUUCG
Molecule: ribosomal RNA, 442 nt
Filed under: uncultured Alphaproteobacteria bacterium
Lineage: Bacteria; Pseudomonadati; Pseudomonadota; Alphaproteobacteria
Description: bacterial SSU rRNA
Rfam family: Bacterial small subunit ribosomal RNA
Source: RNAcentral